Molecule: ribosomal RNA, 765 nt
Filed under: Rhodococcus erythropolis
Lineage: Bacteria; Bacillati; Actinomycetota; Actinomycetes; Mycobacteriales; Nocardiaceae
Also listed under: 1 other name
Description: partial 23S ribosomal RNA
Rfam family: Bacterial large subunit ribosomal RNA
Source: RNAcentral
CGGUGACGCCAGUUAUCGUGGAGUCGUUGUUGAAAUACCACUCUGAUCGAAUUGGACCUCUAACCUCGGACCAUGAUCUGGUUCAGGGACAGUGCCUGGUGGGUAGUUUAACUGGGGCGGUUGCCUCCCAAAAUGUAACGGAGGCGCCCAAAGGUUCCCUCAGCCUGGUUGGCAAUCAGGUGUCGAGUGCAAGUGCACAAGGGAGCUUGACUGUGAGACUGACAGGUCGAGCAGGGACGAAAGUCGGGACUAGUGAUCCGGCACCGGCAAGUGGAAGCGGUGUCGCUCAACGGAUAAAAGGUACCCCGGGGAUAACAGGCUGAUCUUCCCCAAGAGUCCAUAUCGACGGGAUGGUUUGGCACCUCGAUGUCGGCUCGUCGCAUCCUGGGGCUGGAGUAGGUCCCAAGGGUUGGGCUGUUCGCCCAUUAAAGCGGCACGCGAGCUGGGUUUAGAACGUCGUGAGACAGUUCGGUCUCUAUCCGCCGCGCGCGUUAGAAACUUGAGGAAGGCUGUCCCUAGUACGAGAGGACCGGGACGGACGAACCUCUGGUGUGCCAGUUGUUCCGCCAGGAGCACCGCUGGUUAGCUACGUUCGGAAGGGAUAACCGCUGAAAGCAUCUAAGCGGGAAGCCUGUUCCAAGAUGAGGUUUCUCACCCCCUCGAGGGGGUAAGGCCCCCGGCAGACCACCGGGUUGAUAGGCCAGAACUGGAAGUGCAGUAAUGCAUGCAGGUGACUGGUACUAAUAGGCCGAGGACUUACCACAA